UACAGAGGUCCCAAGCGUUGUUCGGAUUCACUGGGCGUAAAGGGUGCGUCGGCGGUUUGAGAAGUCUGAUGUGAAAUCCCGCAGCUUAACUGCGGAACUGCAUUGGAAACGAUUUGACUAGAGGAAUGGAGGGGAGACUGGAAUACUUGGUGUAGCAGUGAGAUGCGUAGAUAUCAAGUGGAACACCAGUGGCGAAGGCGAGUCUCUGGACAUUUCCUGACGCUGAGGCACGAAAGCCAGGGGAGCAAACGGG
Molecule: ribosomal RNA, 253 nt
Filed under: uncultured bacterium
Lineage: Bacteria
Description: partial 16S ribosomal RNA
Rfam family: Bacterial small subunit ribosomal RNA
Source: RNAcentral